GACGAACGCUGGCGGCGUGCUUAACACAUGCAAGUCGAACGGUGAAGCGCCUUCCUUUUUGGUGGGUGUGGAUGAGUGGCGAACGGGUGAGUAACACGUGAGUAACCUGCCCCCUUCUUCUGGAUAACCGCAUGAAAGUGUGGCUAAUACGGGAUAUUCUGGGUCUGUCGCAUGAUGGGUCUGGGAAAGAUAUUGUUUCGGUGGGGGAUGGGCUCGCGGCCUAUCAGCUUGUUGGUGGGGUGAUGGCCUACCAAGGCGGUGACGGGUAGCCGGCCUGAGAGGGUGGGCGGUCACACUGGGACUGAGACACGGCCCAGACUCCUACGGGAGGCAGCAGUGGGGAAUAGUGCACAAUGGGCGCAAGGCUGAUGCAGCGACGCCGCGUGAGGGAUGGAGGCCUUCGGGUUGUGAACCUCUUUCGCCAGUGAAGCAGGCCUGCCUCGUUUGUGGGUGGGUUGACGGUAGCUGGAUAAGAAGCGCCGGCUAACUACGUG
RNAcentral lists this ribosomal RNA (494 nucleotides) under uncultured bacterium. RNAcentral's name for it is "partial 16S ribosomal RNA". It matches the Rfam family "Bacterial small subunit ribosomal RNA", at positions 28 to 507 of the family's 1533-position model. The record is from RNAcentral.